GACAACGUGCCCGAGUGGUUAAGGGGACAGAUUAGAACGCUUUAUUGUUUAGAUCUGUUGGCGUCAGCCGCCAGAGUUCAAGUCUCUGCGUUGUCU
This 96-nucleotide transfer RNA is filed under the name Papiliotrema laurentii. RNAcentral describes it as "tRNA-Ser". It matches the Rfam family "tRNA". Rfam says of the family: Transfer RNA (tRNA) molecules are approximately 80 nucleotides in length. Their secondary structure includes four short double-helical elements and three loops (D, anti-codon, and T loops). Further hydrogen bonds mediate the characteristic L-shaped molecular structure. tRNAs have two regions of fundamental functional importance: the anti-codon, which is responsible for specific mRNA codon recognition, and the 3' end, to which the tRNAs corresponding amino acid is attached (by aminoacyl-tRNA synthetases). tRNAs cope with the degeneracy of the genetic code in two manners: having more than one tRNA (with a specific anti-codon) for a particular amino acid; and 'wobble' base-pairing, i.e. permitting non-standard base-pairing at the 3rd anti-codon position. The record is from RNAcentral. Lineage: Eukaryota; Fungi; Basidiomycota; Tremellomycetes; Tremellales; Rhynchogastremaceae.